UGUCCGGUGGUGUAAUGGUAGCACAGAUGGUUUUGGUCCAUCCAGUUGGGGUUCAAAUCCCUGCCGGACAACCA
This 74-nucleotide transfer RNA is filed under the name Verrucomicrobiota bacterium. Its description in RNAcentral is "tRNA-Gln". It matches the Rfam family "tRNA". From Rfam's summary of the family: Transfer RNA (tRNA) molecules are approximately 80 nucleotides in length. Their secondary structure includes four short double-helical elements and three loops (D, anti-codon, and T loops). Lineage: Bacteria; Pseudomonadati; Verrucomicrobiota. The record is from RNAcentral.